This 424-nucleotide ribosomal RNA is filed under the name uncultured bacterium. Its description in RNAcentral is "bacterial SSU rRNA". It matches the Rfam family "Bacterial small subunit ribosomal RNA", at positions 958 to 1381 of the family's 1533-position model. The record is from RNAcentral.
AACGCCAAGAACCUUACCAGGUCUUGACACCCUGCUGACCGGUGAGUAAUGUCACCUUUCCUUCGGGACAGCAGAGACAGGUGGUGCAUGGUUGCCGUCAGCUCGUGUCGUGAGAUGUUGGGUUAAGUCCCGCAACGAGCGCAACCCUUAUUGUCAGUAGCCAGCAUUAUGGAUGGGCACUCUGAUGAGACUGCCAGGGAUAACCUGGAGGAAGGUGGGGAUGACGUCAAAUCAUCAUGCCCCUUAUGACUUGGGCUACACACGUGCUACAAUGGCGUAAACAAAGGGAAGCGAGCCCGCGAGGGGGAGCAAAUCCCAAAAAUAACGUCCCAGUUCGGAUUGUAAUCUGCAACCCGACUACAUGAAGCUGGAAUCGCUAGUAAUCGCAGGAUCAGCAUGCCGCGGUGAAUACGUUCCCGGGCCU